AGGCUCCCGUGAUGCCUAGCACUGGGCUCCGAUCCCCGUGAGGACACCGUGCGCCCCGGGACCUUUGACACCCGGGGGUCUGAGGAGCCU
Molecule: small nucleolar RNA, 90 nt
Organism: Lepus europaeus (European hare)
Lineage: Eukaryota; Metazoa; Chordata; Mammalia; Lagomorpha; Leporidae
Source: RefSeq, a predicted model, not a curated record